CCGCGUGAGUGAUGAAGGCCCUAGGGUUGUAAAGCUCUUUUGUGCGGGAAGAUAAUGACGGUACCGCAAGAAUAAGCCCCGGCUAACUUCGGUGC
Molecule: ribosomal RNA, 95 nt
Filed under: uncultured bacterium
Lineage: Bacteria
Description: partial 16S ribosomal RNA
Rfam family: Bacterial small subunit ribosomal RNA
Source: RNAcentral